Long non-coding RNA from Drosophila subobscura, 357 nucleotides. RefSeq lists it as uncharacterized. The record is from RefSeq and is a predicted model, not a curated record. The transcript has 2 exons. Lineage: Eukaryota; Metazoa; Arthropoda; Insecta; Diptera; Drosophilidae.
GCCCCGUUUUGUACCGUUUUUUCUGUCGUUGCGAGUGGGCGUUGUAGCGCAAGCUCUGGUCCCCCAAAAUAAAUGUGUGUGACGUCUUCGUCGUCGUUGUCGUCGUCGGUGUUGUCGUCGUCCUGCGUCGCCACGAGUCUGCGUCAGAGUACGAGUCUGGCAGCGGCUUUGGAGUCCGCAAACUCCUUACCUUACAGUUCAAACGGUACUUCAAAAGCAGCAGCAGCAACAGUUGCAACGGCAGCCAAGGCAGCGGCAGCAGCUAAAGAAUCAAAAAUCAGAAAGCAGCGACCAAACAUCAGCAACAAAUGAAAAUGUAAAGUGAAAAAGUGUGAAAAGCGCAAGGAAAAACUACAA